UCUCAGCCUGCUUUGAAUAAAUAUAAACUAC
Molecule: non-coding RNA, 31 nt
Filed under: Mus musculus (house mouse)
Lineage: Eukaryota; Metazoa; Chordata; Mammalia; Rodentia; Muridae
Source: RNAcentral